AACGCAGGAUUUGGCCAUAUUUUAUUUCUUUGAUUUCUAUCCUAUCACCCUCUUCUUCUGCACUAUCCAGUGGUUGUUGGGUGGAGUGUGGUUGCGGUGCAACACAAAAAGCUCAAUCACGCGACGGCCGACUUUACGCAUAUCUAUUUGUCCCUGGAGUUCCUUUGUUCUCACUACCCGUUGAAUGUCGUUAUUCUUUGCCGGAAGGUAUUAAUCCACAACUCAAUUUGGCCAGGGCUCAAUCUCAAGGUUGUGUUGGCAACGAGUGCUGGAAGCCAAAACUGCCAAUUUAUUCGUGCGGUUAACAAGGAGCCUUUGUUGCAGGUUUGCAUUUUGGAUGCUAGCUCGACGCUGACGGCGCGGGGAGCACUGCGGCGAGCACUUCGGGCUAUUCAUGCUUUUCAAGAAGCUUGCGCUUGGAGGAGGUGAAGUAUUUUAAGCACGCGUGGACACAUUGGAAGCAUUCGUCGGCAGGGUCAUUGCCGGCAACUGGGAAAGAUAGUUCCCUCCUGCCUCCUACCUCCUGCCUCCUACCUCCUGCCUCCUAGCGUUAACCGUAAAUCCAGGGCAGCUCAGGAUCUAAGCCUGGAAGCAAGCCUGGAAGCUAACCAGGAGGGAGUGUGACACAAUUCAGACUCUUCCGGUGCGGGAAUCUGAGCUUCGUCAUACAGUCGAAUUCAUUUCAGAUCACCCGAAUAUGAAGAGCUUUAUAGGGGGAAGAUCUGACAAGAUAUUCCAGCAUUUCAAUAUAUCAAAUAUCUCUUCAAAGAUACCGUUGGCUAUGGGAGAUGUCGUUGGCAAUAAAAUCCAUCCAGUAUUAUCUAGCAAUGUCUAGUGUAGGUAUUUAAAUGAAAAGAGAAGAACAGCCCGGAAUGUCAAAGUGCCCAAAAGCAAAAUACCCACAAAAAUUCCACACUUGACCGCUAAUUUAUCCUUAAUAUAUUCUAAUUAUUGCUAAAAUAUCCGGGGAAGAGCCAGGAGAGCUUCGUGAGGGCUUCAGCGCUCAGAUAUCCUGGAGCAGUGCUCAGGCCAAAUUUACAAGUACCUUCUAAAUGCUUUGCUUGCACGAGAGCUGCAUGUUCAUCCUUUGUAAGUUCAUCGAGCACCGCUCCAAUGAAGUUUCUCGCAUUCACUGAGUUCAUUUUCAUAUUGGCCAUGACCAUAUCGACAGUUACAUCUGCCGCCUCCGAGUGCCAGCAGUCAUAAUCUGUGGACAU
This 1217-nucleotide small RNA is filed under the name Histoplasma ohiense. RNAcentral describes it as "hypothetical lncRNA". Lineage: Eukaryota; Fungi; Ascomycota; Eurotiomycetes; Onygenales; Ajellomycetaceae. The record is from RNAcentral.